GUAGGUGGCAAGCGUUGUCCGGAAUUAUUGGGCGUAAAGCGCGCGCAGGCGGUUCUUUAAGUCUGAUGUGAAAGCCCACGGCUCAACCGUGGAGGGUCAUUGGAAACUGGAGAACUUGAGUACAGAAGAGGAAAGCGGAAUUCCACGUGUAGCGGUGAAAUGCGUAGAGAUGUGGAGGAACACCAGUGGCGAAGGCGGCUUUCUGGUCUGCAACUGACGCUGAGGCGCGAAAGCGUGGGGAGCAAACAGGAUUAGAUACCCUGGUAGUCCACGCCGUAAACGAUGAGUGCUAAGUGUUAGGGGGGUUUCCGCCCCCCUUAGUGCUGCAGCUAACGCAUUAAGCACUCCGCCUGGGAGUACGGCCGCAAGGCUG
Molecule: ribosomal RNA, 373 nt
Filed under: uncultured organism
Description: partial 16S ribosomal RNA
Rfam family: Bacterial small subunit ribosomal RNA
Source: RNAcentral